AUGUAUGAGAAUGUGGUUCAGUGGCGGUUCACGGGCUUCUAUGGUCACCCGAAAUGGAAUGAACACCAUUUAUCUUGGGAUGACAUUCAUAAUUUACAUAGUAAGAGCAACCAUCCCUGGGUGGUUUUGGGGGAUUUUAAUGAAAUUUUAUACCCGUCGGAAAAAGAGGGUGGUGUAGCUAGACCACUUGGUAUGAUGAGAGAGUUCCAUGAAUGCCUAAUGGAUUGUGGGCUGGAAGAUCCAGGCUAUAAUGGGGACAUGUUCACUUGGAGGAGAGGCGAAAUAUGUGAGCGCCUUGAUCGGGUAGUCUGUAACUUAGCAUGGGUAAACAAAUUCCCACGAGCAGCAGUUAUCAAUGAAGAACAUGUUCAUUCUGACCAUCACCCAAUCAUACUGGAUAUGGAGUAUUGGGAUGAAAAAAUAUUUAAACGCCCAAAGGGGCGUGUUAAAGAAUUUGAGGCGAGAUGGUUGAAGGAAGAGACGGUCACUGAAAUCGUUAAGGCAUCUUGGGAGAAGGCAAAUCUAGCAGGUAUUGGAUCCUCACUUGCUAACUGUACGAGAACAGUGCAUGUCGAUCUACAUACUUGGGAUCAGGAAACGCUAAAGGGACCAAAGGUGAGAAUUAGAAAAUUAAAAAAGAGUUGGAGAGACUAA
This 654-nucleotide ribosomal RNA is filed under the name Triticum aestivum (bread wheat). RNAcentral's name for it is "partial small subunit ribosomal RNA". Lineage: Eukaryota; Viridiplantae; Streptophyta; Magnoliopsida; Poales; Poaceae. The record is from RNAcentral.